GGGAACACUCCCAAAAUUCAAGUUCGCAGAUGCAAAUCAAGAGCCAACCAUGCAAGCAGGCCCUUCUAAGGAUGACAGUCUCAAGCCCACUGUGUCAACUCUUUUCUAUUUGUGCACACACAGUGACACUUCCAUGAGCACAAGGGAUGCCCUUCACUCUCUAGCACCUCUAGACCCUUUCUAGUCUAGUCAAUGGAUGAGGGAAUAUGAGUGUGGGCUGGGACAAUGACAUCACAAACCGUCAACCCACAGCCUGGUCCUGGGAGAAGACCUAUUAUUUCUUCAAAGCAGCCAUGGGAAUCAGGGUCCUCUGUUAUGUGGCCUUUUGUUUCCUGGCUGUAGGCCUCGUGGAUGUGAAAGUAACCCAGAGCUCAAGAUAUAUAAUCAAAAGGACGGGAGAGAAAGUUUUUCUGGAAUGUGUCCAGGAUAUGGACCAUGAAAGAAUGUUCUGGUAUCGACAAGACCCAGGUCUGGGGCUACGGCUGAUCUAUUUCUCAUAUGAUGUUAAAAUGAACGAAAAAGGAGAUAUUCCUGAGGGGUACAGUGUCUCUAGAGAGAAGAAGGAGCGCUUCUCCCUGAUUCUGGGGUCUGCCAGCACCAACCAGACAUCUAUGUACCUCUGUGCCAGCAGUUUAUCCACAGCGCAGCACAGCCACAUACUCUCUGCACAAAAAGAGCAGAUGUAAGAGAGAAGAGGCCCUAACUCAGGGCAGGUGCUGACUCCAAUGGCACAUUCGUGCUAAAUAGAA
Piliocolobus tephrosceles (Ugandan red Colobus) is the source of this 749-nucleotide non-coding RNA. Lineage: Eukaryota; Metazoa; Chordata; Mammalia; Primates; Cercopithecidae. The record is from the annotation of a RefSeq genome assembly.